Molecule: ribosomal RNA, 253 nt
Filed under: uncultured bacterium
Lineage: Bacteria
Description: partial 16S ribosomal RNA
Rfam family: Bacterial small subunit ribosomal RNA
Source: RNAcentral
GACGGAGGAUGCAAGCGUUAUCCGGAAUGAUUGGGCGUAAAGCGUCUGCAGGUGGCAGUUCAAGUCUGCUGUCAAAGACCGGGGCUUAACUUCGGAAAGGCAGUGGAAACUGAACAGCUAGAGUAUGGUAGGGGCAGAGGGAAUUCCUGGUGUAGCGGUGGAAUGCGCAGAUAUCAGGAGGAACACCGGUGGCGAAGGCGGGAUCCUGGGCCAGUACUGACGCUGAGGAGCGAAAGCGUGGGGAGCAAACAGG